CAGCCCAAAGCUGUAUUACCAAAGGAAGAAGGUCUGGAACCAGUAGCUCUCUGACUUGGCAUCACGGGCUGCAGGAACAACAACAGCAGCUGAUUAUACUGUGAACAUUAAGAAAGUUGAGAAGUUUCUGGAGUCAGGGGAACACGAGUCAUUAUCAUUACCACUGUGUACAGGAUACCGGAGAAAAGAAACUUACCAGUCUAUACAAAUAAAAUCCCAAAGCUGUCAGUUAGAUGCUUCCUGUCAGUGGCCACUUAUAUGGAUAAGAAGUACAGAGUUGCAGAACAGCUGUUCAAGACUAAUACACAAACAUCCAUGACCUGGACCAGGAUUUCCUCAGAAUAUUGUUAUUUAGAGAACUACAACGGAUCAGAUCAGACAGGUUAACAUUCCUGACUAGGAGAUAGAACAAAUGGCCUGAAGGAGGCAUGAAUUUGUCAGCACGUUCACAACUUUGGCUCAGGCAGACAGCUGGGAAGAGGCUAAACGAGACUAUUCAGAAGGGUGCUAUAAGUUCAGAAAAUUUCAGACCUGAAGUUUUGUUGUCUAGCUGUGUGGAUGUUUUAGAUGUUUGGAACAUUGGAAAGUGUAGAAAUGACAAGGUAUUGAAUACAGAUGUGAAGUUUCCAUAUCUAGCUGUGUUGAUGUUUUAGACAUUUGGAACAUUAGAAACUGCAGAAAUUACAAGAUUGUCCAGCACUUGCAGACGAGCGAUGGCACCCAUAGGCGGUGUGCAGAAUCUAUGAGUCAGCCUUGUCAUCUCAAAGUAAAGGUCACAAAUCAAGGUAAAAGGUUUGAGCCUUCCAUUUUGUGUCCGCUCUGUAUCUCCUAAACCCCUUGAAGGAUAAUCAUGAAACUUUGAUCAAAUGAUCACCUCAUCAAGACGAUGUGCAGAACCU
Molecule: long non-coding RNA, 899 nt
Organism: Mercenaria mercenaria
Lineage: Eukaryota; Metazoa; Mollusca; Bivalvia; Venerida; Veneridae
Exons: 7
Source: RefSeq, a predicted model, not a curated record